UGGCGCAUGCCACGCUUUUGAAAGAUGGUUUCGGCUAUCGCUUACAGAUGGGCCCGCGGUGCAUUAGCUAGUUGGUAGGGUAAUGGCCUACCAAGGCAACGAUGCAUAGCCGACCUGAGAGGGUGAUCGGCCACACUGGGACUGAGACACGGCCCAGACUCCUACGGGAGGCAGCAGUAGGGAAUCUUCCGCAAUGGACGAAAGUCUGACGGAGCAACGCCGCGUGUAUGAAGAAGGUUUUCGGAUCGUAAAGUACUGUUGUUAGAGAAGAACAAGGAUAAGAGUAACUGCUUGUCCCUUGACGGUAUCUAACCAGAAAGCCACGGCUAACUACGUGCCAGCAGCCGCGGUAAUACGUAGGUGGCAAGCGUUGUCCGGAUUUAUUGGGCGUAAAG
This 395-nucleotide ribosomal RNA is filed under the name Listeria monocytogenes. Its description in RNAcentral is "bacterial SSU rRNA". It matches the Rfam family "Bacterial small subunit ribosomal RNA", at positions 184 to 565 of the family's 1533-position model. The record is from RNAcentral. Lineage: Bacteria; Bacillati; Bacillota; Bacilli; Caryophanales; Listeriaceae.